UUGCGGGCCGCGCCAAGCGGACGCGGCGGUGCUGGAGAACAUCGGGAUUUUUCCGCUUUCUCCCGGUGGCCAACGCAAUGGCAGGCCGAGCUCCCUACCCGCCCGGUUC
This 109-nucleotide small RNA is filed under the name Rhizobium leguminosarum. Its description in RNAcentral is "sRNA Atu_At1". It matches the Rfam family "Rhizobiales sRNA Atu_At1". The record is from RNAcentral. Lineage: Bacteria; Pseudomonadati; Pseudomonadota; Alphaproteobacteria; Hyphomicrobiales; Rhizobiaceae.